ACAGCAGUGCUAAUGCCGUGUCCUUAACCACAAAGCCACCAGGCAGGUCCUGUUCACGUCUUCACUUUACUGGCACUUAGCCAGCAUGGAUUCUUCUCCUGUGUGCCAAGAAGUGCAAAGCCGAUGACCAGCAGCCCCAGCCAAGUUCCUUUGCUCCUCUAGCAUCUAGAAGGUUGCCUCCAGUGUGGGUGGAGGUCUCAGGUUUUGGGGUUCGUCACAUGGAGCCCCUGCCUAGGCUUGGGGACCCUUACCCUCACCAAGGACGCUCCUGGUCCUGCCUGCUCCGCAAGAAGUGUCCCAUCUUUGGAAAUCUCUCCGGAAGGUGAAAAUAGUUGCAGAAGCGGGAAGUCAGGACAAGCGUGCUGUUGAUCCGGAAGAAGUGAAGUCACAAGGCUCUCCUUGUUACCUCGCCAGCGGGGGCAGGGGCUCUCUGUCCGGGAGGGAGCCGGUAACAAAGCCGCCCUUCUCUGCAUCUGAUGACAAGCCUCACCAUUGCCUAACCUGCCGGGCGAGAAAACCCAGCGUGUGUCCACCGCGCCCUCCCCGCACCCAGCUCCCAGCCCAUCGUUCCUUCCUGCCAGCUACACCCACGCGGGCCCGGCCCCCUCUUACCGCAGCUGUCCCCCGGCUCCAGCCGCCUCACUCUGCAAACAUGCCCCGUGUUAGCGGAUUUGUGGGCGAGGAUGGGAGUCAGAGGAGCUAAAUCCCACUGCAGGAUGUUCAAAUACCUUCAGGGUUGCAGAUGCAUCUGGAGCGGUGACGUCAACCCCGGCCUCCGCCGGGACUGCUGCGGGGCUGGCAUUCCAGGCGUGUUGGGAGACAGACUUGUCCUGGCUGCCGCCGUCAGCUGGUGGGCCCCUCCCCUGUCCUGGACAGGGGAUUUCUGGUCCUCAGGGGACCCGGGGCUCUGGGAUCAGGCCUCAGCCCAGCAGGGUUGGAAGACAGUGGAUGAGUUUGCAACUGCAGCGUCCCCAGCGACACUUCUUCCCCUUUGGUCCUUAGCAUUAACCCCCAAGUUCUGGGUUCUUGGCCAUUGAGAAUGAAGACUGCAUCCCGGCUCAGCUCAGGUCAGGAGCACAAGGAAGGUGGGGGCACUGUGGCAGAUUUCCAGCCCUUUCCUAGAUGCCCCGAGGCUCGGGGCGCAGGGCCCAGACCCCUCCCUAGGCCCACCCCGGGCUAUGUCCCGCCUGCCCACCCCCCGCCCCUGGGGCUGUGGCUCGCAGCUGACUCAGCCUGGUUAAACCAGUAGGAAGGACCCAGGAAUCCCAAGACUAAUUAGGAUCAAGUGUAGAAAUGCAGGGUGACGAGAACCCAGUAAGUCAGCCAGUCACCAGGGACAAGUACCAGAAAAAUGACUAAAACGCCCUCCUGCCAACCCAGGAGAUGAACUUGACAAAUGAACCAGCCUUAAGACAGAAAGAGCCCCACAUCGCAAGGGACCUGCGAGACUGAGCCUCCCGUCCGGGGCCACGGGGACACAGCCAUCCCUCGGGUGGGCUUUGUGGUGUGGAAUCCGGAGGCGGCUGGCGGCAGCCUGUCGCCUCCAGGAAUCCAAGGGCCAGGCACUCCUUUCCAGUGGCCCAGUUUCCCAGAGGCGCUCCAGGCCCUAGAGGCAUCACCCCGCGGCUGGGAGACAGCGGGGGCGGGAAGGUCAGGAGGGCAGCCGCGAGUUUGGAUCUGGAGGUGGAGUCGGGAGCAGCAACGGCCAGAGCCUCUCGGGCCUGGACAGACUCAGCUGUCACCUGACCUGAGCCCAGCUCCCCAUUUAGAGCCUUCAAGGGGGAGCCACCAGAGUGGGGGCCCUCCCAGCCCUAAGGAGGGGUGCCCAGAGAGCAGGAGGGUCUAGACCAGGAGAGGGGACGGGUGGCCUGGCUCAGAGACCAGUUAACUCACGAUAUGGGCUGAGGACACCCAAAUAAGGUCCCCUCUGAGGCUCUGGGUGGACGUGAAUAGAGGGGACACGGCUCAACCCAGGGUGGCCCCUUCUACUGUCCACCUCCAACUCGGUCUAUAAGGACAGAGCGCUGGGCCAGGACCCGCUGAGCCACUUUGAGCCUCAGGUCCCACACCUGCUCAACAAGACAGGAACAGGGCAUGUUCAUGGGCCCUUCUGGGAAACGCUUGGGACCAAGUGGCUUCGGAAGUAGAAUUCUCCUGCCCUUGGAAAAGGAACUCAGGGCCCUUCCAAAGAGUCCCUCGCAUCCGCGGACAAAAGAAUGUUAACCCACUGUUAAGCCAUCAGCCUCUGAGACUCCCAGACAGUGCGCCCCGGGGGAACUCAGGAGGCAGAGAAACAGGACGGGGCCGGAGAGCUAGGACGCCCAUCAAGGGAGGACUGCGGGGACCCUUGCCUCUCCCCUUACACAGAAGCACUGAAUUCAUUCACUUCAGUUGUCUGUUUUUUGCGAUGAGCAGUAAUCUUUUUUUUCUUCUGUCUUUUGUCUUUUUAAGGCUGCACCUGCGGCAUAUGGAGGCUCCCAAGAUAGGGGUUGAAUCCCAGGCUAGGGGCCGGAGCCACAGCAACGUGGG
This 2529-nucleotide long non-coding RNA is filed under the name Sus scrofa (pig). Its description in RNAcentral is "lncRNA (ENSSSCG00000052416.1)". Lineage: Eukaryota; Metazoa; Chordata; Mammalia; Artiodactyla; Suidae. The record is from RNAcentral.